AUAGCUUCCAUCCCAAACACUGCCAAGUCUAUGACCCAAGUUACAUCCAGUGCCCGAUUUCGGCCUAAUAGCUUCCAUCCCAAAAACUGCCAAGUCUAUCACCCAUGUUACAUCCGGUGCUCGAUUUCGGCCGAAUAGCUUCCAUCCCAAAAACUGCCAAGUCUAUCACCCAUGUCACAUCCGGUGCCCAAUUUCGGCC
RNAcentral lists this long non-coding RNA (199 nucleotides) under Manihot esculenta (cassava). RNAcentral's name for it is "long non-coding RNA (MESC_LNC013012)". The record is from RNAcentral. Lineage: Eukaryota; Viridiplantae; Streptophyta; Magnoliopsida; Malpighiales; Euphorbiaceae.